Gossypium arboreum is the source of this 145-nucleotide microRNA precursor. It matches the Rfam family "MIR7502 microRNA precursor family". The record is from Rfam. NCBI's taxonomy places the organism in Eukaryota, Viridiplantae, Streptophyta, Magnoliopsida, Malvales, Malvaceae.
UGUUAAAAAUUUCAUUUAUUUGUACUGUUAAAAAUUGGCUUGAUUGAUAGAAUAAGUAGAUAGUGAGACAUGGCGUACCACGUGUACCUUAUGCUGAUGUACAAUGAUCAAUUUUUAACAAUAGAAAUGGAUGAAAUUUUUAACA